UACGAAGGGAGCUAGCGUUGUUCGGAAUUACUGGGCGUAAAGGGCGCGUAGGCGGCUUCGAUAGUUGGGCGUGAAAUGCCUGGGCUCAACCCAGGAAUGGCGUUCAAUACUGUGAGGCUUGAGUGUGGGAGAGGAUAGUGGAAUUCCCAGUGUAGAGGUGAAAUUCGUAGAUAUUGGGAAGAACACCAGCGGCGAAGGCGGCUAUCUGGACCACAACUGACGCUGAGGCGCGAAAGCGUGGGGAGCAAACAGG
RNAcentral lists this ribosomal RNA (253 nucleotides) under uncultured bacterium. RNAcentral's name for it is "partial 16S ribosomal RNA". It matches the Rfam family "Bacterial small subunit ribosomal RNA", at positions 524 to 776 of the family's 1533-position model. The record is from RNAcentral.